Molecule: long non-coding RNA, 1986 nt
Filed under: Sorghum bicolor (sorghum)
Lineage: Eukaryota; Viridiplantae; Streptophyta; Magnoliopsida; Poales; Poaceae
Description: long non-coding RNA (SBIC_LNC017501)
Source: RNAcentral
AGACUAUAGUAGAUAUUGAUGAGGACGUUCACAGGCUAGAUAGAGUUAUCAUAGACCUCCAGUCCUCAGUUAACUCCAUCACUAGGCAGCUCUCUAACCACAACACCGUUAUACUAGGCCUUAGACAUGAUCUUGCUAGUGCCAAUAAGAAGAUCAAGGAGUUAGAGCGCCGCUAAGUUAUCUAGAUUAGAUCUUGAGGCAAUGCAUCUUAGUUAUUUGUCUUUAAAUUCGGUUUAGAUUUUUACUAUUAUCGUCAGUUUGCUACUAGUCAUUUGUAAUAAAUGCCUCAAGAUUAAUAAAGAGUAUUAUUAUUAUUAUGUCGUGUGCGUCUCUACUUUAUUUUUGUGCAAGAGAGCAGAAAACAAGUAUGGGGGAGAUCCCUUAACACACCAAACAGACUUUGACUACACCACUUCACGAUUCAGGUACAUACUCUGCACACUUUACGCAUACACAUCUUGGAUUAUGCAGAAUAUUGUCUCCGACAUGAUAAAUAUUAAAAAGAUUAAAAUGUUUCUAAUCAUGAUUAAUCUCACUCUGUGAUAUUUCAUGAAACUUGCAAUUAUUGAAAAAUCAUUUUUAAAACCCUGUGUUACUAAGUCAUUGUGGAAUGUCAGAUGGUAGAGUAUGAGUUCUUAUUCUUGAUAUCAUUGUUGCUUGGAGAAUUUAUUUCAAAAUCUUCAAAAUUCUAGCUACCAUCCUCAGUGUUUUAUAUGCCUGAUAAACCUAAAAAUAUUAAUGAUAAUUAUAAAAGUUAUCUACUCUGUAUUAAGUUUGUUCAAAAUGAGUUAGACACUUGUUGAGAGAUUUAUCAUGCUCCUAAGAUCAAGACAUUUAUUCAGAAAGAUUCACUCUUCUAAAGUAUUAUUGCAUUAGAGGCAUGGGCUAUGCAAAAAUAAAGAUGUUUCGAGGAAAUAAAAAGGAGCAAGUGCUCGAUAACCUCACAGAAAAAUGGACAAGUGUCCGGCAGUAGAAUUAGGGGUACCUCGGUAUCCACUUAAAAAAAAGAAAAAAGAAGAAGAAAAUGAUAGCCCAUGGUCCCUCUAAUAAGCAAUAUGCCAGCAAGAGUUGACAAGUUUUUAAUUUCCAAAGUUUUUGAUCUAAGAUUAUGACAUUCUUCUCCUUGGAUCCCGUUUUGAUCAGGCAAUAAAUGCAAAGUAAGUAUGCUUGAGAAUUUUUGCAAAUUAAAACAGCCUCUGUCACAGAACCGACCAAAUUAUAAGAGUUCAAGUGUAGAAACGAUCGUCUAGCAAUCAAGUUUCCAAACUUGAGCCCAUAUAAUCCCGUUAGUCAACUGAAAUCACGAAGGACUUCAAACCAACUUGCAACAAACCAAGAUCGUAAUAGUUCAACAUAACACAGCGAAUGUUACAUGGUCAUUCAUUGCCGUCGAAGCGGCACCACAUUGGAGUUACUUAGUUAUUACAACACAUGUUUGUAGUAGCGGAAGCAAAAUAGUUUACAACACAUAUUCCAAAGUUCAGUUCCCAAGUUCUUGUUACUGCCAGAGUCUCAUACCAUCCAUCCAAAAGCAACAGGUACGAAGUAGUUAGAGAGCUGUGCCCAACGGUUUAGUCCUCAUCCCCAGCGGGAUGGAGACAGGUCUUGCAGAAGCCAUCAUAAAAGAUAUCAUCUGCAACAGGUGGGAAUAAACCCUGAGUACGAGGAUGUACUCAGCUAGACUUACCCGUCUAGUAAAAUAUAAAAGACACCAAGGAUCAUGCAAGGCUAAGUAUAAAGUGUAGCUGGCUUGACUCAACAUUUGCCAAAAGCUUAAGUAGAGACUACACCAUUGUAAAAGCAUCAUAUUAAUCAUCAUUAGCCUACCACUAGAUUAGCACCUAUACUAAAACACUUCACUUGAUUAUUACAAGCAAUAAUAACCAUAUCAAGUUCAUCAUAUGUUCUUCCUUGCUAUCAUCAUUAUCACGAACCAAUGUUCUUUAGUGAAUGCUACGUUUGUCGCUGCUCUGUCAAGUUCUCACU